RNAcentral lists this ribosomal RNA (484 nucleotides) under uncultured bacterium. RNAcentral describes it as "partial 16S ribosomal RNA". It matches the Rfam family "Bacterial small subunit ribosomal RNA", at positions 30 to 507 of the family's 1533-position model. The record is from RNAcentral.
AUUGAACGCUGGCGGCAUGCUUUACACAUGCAAGUCGAACGGCAGCGCGGGCUUCGGCCUGGCGGCGAGUGGCGAACGGGUGAGUAAUACAUCGGAACGUGCCCAGUAGUGGGGGAUAGCUCGGCGAAAGACGGAUUAAUACCGCAUACGACCUGAGGGUGAAAGCGGGGGAUCUUCGGACCUCGCGCUAUUGGCGCGGCCGAUGGCAGAUUAGCUAGUUGGUGGGGUAAAGGCCUACCAAGACGACGAUCUGUAGCUGGUCUGAGAGGACGAGCAGCCACACUGGGACUUAGACACGGCCCAGACUCCUACGGGAGGCAGCAGUGUGGAAUUUUGGACAAUGGGCGAAAGCCUAAUCCAGCAAUGCCGCGUGUGUGAUGAAGGCCUUCGGGUUGUAAAGCACUUUUGGCGGGAACGAAAAGGACUGUGCCAAGACCACGGUUCGAUGACGGUACCCGCAGAAUAAGCACCGGCUAACUACGUG